RNAcentral lists this ribosomal RNA (338 nucleotides) under Trichadenotecnum latebrachium. RNAcentral describes it as "partial 12S ribosomal RNA". The record is from RNAcentral. Lineage: Eukaryota; Metazoa; Arthropoda; Insecta; Psocodea; Psocidae.
GAGUAGUAAGUGUUUUGGGCAGGAAACUUAAAGAAUUUGGCGGUGUAUAUUCUAAUUAGAGGAAUAUGUUUUUUAAUUGAUACUCCCCAAGUAUUUUACUUAAUUUCAUUUAUUUUGUAUAUCUCCGUCUUAAAAAAACUUUCUAAAAUAUUUUUUAUUUCUUAUAAUUUAAAAUAAGUCAGGUCAAGGUGCAGGUUAUAAUUAAGUUAAAAUGUAUUACAAUAAAAUUAUUUUUGGAUUAAAAUUUAAAUAGUAGUUUUAUUAAAUUGGAUUUAUGAGUAAAUUUUUUUAUAAAAUAAUUUAUUGAAUUGUGUUAAUAUACAUGCACACAUCGCCCG